This is a long non-coding RNA of Chroicocephalus ridibundus (black-headed gull), 390 nucleotides long. RefSeq lists it as uncharacterized. The transcript has 5 exons. Lineage: Eukaryota; Metazoa; Chordata; Aves; Charadriiformes; Laridae. The record is from RefSeq and is a predicted model, not a curated record.
GUUCCAUGGGAGAGGAGCUGCUCAGUCCGUCUGCCCACCCAGGGCCCUCUGCGGCUCCACGUGUAAGGCUAAAGACAUUAAAGCAAAAUCGCGUUAUCUGAGUCGAGCUACCUGGAGAUUACUGGGAAGAGGAGAAGGAAGACGACGAUGAUAAAAACGCCACUAAUGUUGAACAAAGUCCUGAAAUUUCUGCAAGGGCACCUGUGUCCCACCUGGAUGACGGAGUGGAUCUGUUAAAGAAGACUAUGCAGAAUUUGCAGGAAAAAGUGAAAUUCACCUCCACCAAAGAAGAGGAAGAGGAGAGCUCCCAGGAAGAGCAGGCACGAGAAUCCAGAUUGGGACCCCAUUACCCUACCACUCUCAUACAGAGCCACCAUGAAGAACUACCUU